GCCCGCGCCCGCGGGCGGUGCCGCCCCGGCCGUCCGCCGGCGGGCGGGGGCGGUGCGGCCGCUCCCCGUGCCCGUUCCGGCCGGGCCGGGGGCCC
Molecule: transfer RNA, 95 nt
Filed under: Kitasatospora indigofera
Lineage: Bacteria; Bacillati; Actinomycetota; Actinomycetes; Kitasatosporales; Streptomycetaceae
Description: tRNA-Arg
Source: RNAcentral